This 36418-nucleotide long non-coding RNA is filed under the name Populus trichocarpa (black cottonwood). RNAcentral describes it as "long non-coding RNA (PTRI_LNC000400)". The record is from RNAcentral. Lineage: Eukaryota; Viridiplantae; Streptophyta; Magnoliopsida; Malpighiales; Salicaceae.
UAACAAUAAACGGGUACAAUACUUUUUCCCUUCUAUAAAAUACAUUUACUCUACUUGAUCCAUUCCCCGAGCAACACUAGCUACGGUUUAAAUGAGCUUUUUUCCCCUUUAAGACUCUAGCUACGGUUUAAAUGCAAGAAACAUGAAUUCACUAAUGAGCGCAAGCUUCCUCCUUGAACUGCUUUCCUGACUAGAAGAAGAGGCCUAUAAAGAUGGCAGGACAUUUAGAUCUUUAGAUCUUCGAAGCUAGCUUCACCACGAUAGGACUUUCCCCUUGGAUGCAUGUCCGCCUAACUUCACCCCAGUUGAAGACCCCACCUUUUCCUCAUUCUCUCCUGGGGCAUGGGGCUUUUUCCGAUUUGAUAUUGGGAUUUCCUUUGGAUUAAACUGGCAAUUCAGCCGGGGAAGAAGGGCAUUCGCCGGCUGUUUUCGAGAAGGAAUAAGCGGUCGUCAGGCCUUCCCUGUCAUGUGCCUCCUAAAGAAAAAAGGGUUUCUAUAUCUCCACUCAUGAUACAUGUUAAUUUAUCAAAAACUCUCUCUUCUACAUUCAGGGUAAGAAUUCCAUCUGAGCUUAUGCAAGAAAGUCUAUAAUCAUAAUAAUAAUUACUUGGCUGGUCGAGACUGAACUGCUCUGUGGAUUUAGCUUACAAUGUUUCAGACAUAAGAAUGAAAAUGUUUCAGACAUACCAACAUUUGAUGAGACACAUCGUUCUGGAAAAAAAAUGGAUUAAUUGGAUUGGUCUUCUUCUUCUUCCUCCUCCUUUUGAAUUACCUCGUACAGUUUGGUAAAUCUUUUGAAAAUGUAACUGGCAUCCGGGAAUAGAAUUGUCUUCUCAAGCUGGGACCUGUGAGACUGAUUUCAUGACAGAAAUUCAGAGUUGAUGUCUAUUAGGUUGUACAAAUAAAAAUCUUGAGGCCUCAAACAAAAUCAAUCCUCAUUAGUAAUUUCUGAGAACACUUAUCCAGACGAAUAUUUGAUCAAUCAUGAAAAGACUGGCAUGUCGUGGAAUUCCUCAACUAGUCCGAACAAGGAAAGAUAGAACCUCUGACUUCUUCGUUUUCACAUGUCAUUGUAGUGCGAAACCCAUCACUACGAAGAUAAUGCCAGCCGGAUAAUAUUGGCUGUUAUUGGGACUUUUUCAACAAAAACAGAGUUACAGAUGAAGUUGCCAUCGGGUCCCAUCCAUGGUGAUGCAAGAAGAACUACAUAGCAUAUGGGCCAUGUUGCCCCCAAUAAAAUAUCUAAUUCCAUUUUAAGACUUCAAUUAUCUUUUAUAAAGGAUUCUUGGUUAUUUUCUUAUGUUAUUUUUGACGGUUUUACAACUUUUGACAAACACUUAAAACAUAUAUAUAUAUAUAUAUAUAUAUAUAAAGAAUUCUUAGUUAAAAGACCAGCUUAGGUGAUCACCCUUUGUCACAGGGUUCGAUUAUUUUUUUAUGUAAAAAAUAACAUUCAUGUUUUGAAAUGAAAUUAAAAAAACAUAAAAUACAAUCAUUAUAUAAAUGUAAUCAUGCUAAUUAUGAUCGAAUUAAUCUAGGAUAUUCCAUGAAAAUCACAACCUAAAUAAAAUGAUUGAAAUGACCCAAUAAAAAAACUAUAAAGAAUUAUAAAGCUUCUUUUUCUAUAUAUAUAUAAAAAACUUGAGUCAUUAGACCUGAAAUAUCCAAUCUGGAAAAAUUAUAAAGUUUAAAUUUUAAUCAAUCAUAUAUUAAAUGAUGAAAUUAAAAAGAAAAUCUUAACUAUACAAUUUUUUAAAAAAUAGCAAUUAAAAAAAUGUGUAUUAAAAUUAAAAUACAAAAUAAAUUUUAUAUUUAAUUGAAGGGUAAAAUUAAAAGAAAAUUAAUAAAAGGAUAGUGUUUUUUCUUAAAAAAGAAUGAAGGCUCAAAAUUAAUAUAAAAAAUAAAAAUAAUAUUGUAAUUAAAUGGUGAAAUUAAAAAGAAUAAUAGUUUUUACAAAAGAGCCAAGAAAAAAAAUUAAAAAUUAAAACAAUGAGGACCAAAUUGAAAAACAUAAUACCAUCAAUUUAAAUUGAAUGAUAAAAUUGAAAAUCAAUAAAACUUUUACAAAAGAGUUAAGGAAAAAAAUUAAAAAUUCAAAGAAUGAACAUCAGAUUGAAGAAUAUGAUAUAUGGUAAAUUAGGAUUCAAUAAUAAAAUUGAAAAUAAAUAAAAUUUCUAUAAAAGGACAAAGAUAAAAAAUGAGAAAUUAAAAGAAUAGAGAUUGAAGUUGAAAUAUCAACAACUAAAAGGGUCAAGCUAUAAUUUUCAAGAGAGGCAAAAGAGAAGGAAAAAAAAGCCUACUUGUAACAAACCAAACUAUAACCGAAGACACACACCACACCAACCAAAAAAGGACAUGGUGGUGCUCUCAAGGACAUGAAAAAAAAUGUAUUUUUGGAUUCCUAGAAGCACCCCACGCGUCGUCUGAAAAGUGCAAGGACCACCCACACACCCCGGGUGUGCCACAUGCACAUGUUUUUUUUUUUAGCUAAAUACAAAACUGUCCCUAAGUUGACUUUCUAAUCACAAAAAAACCAUUGUGAAAAACCAAAAAUGUCCAUUGACCUCAUAUUUAAGAUUUUUUUUAUUUUAAGGGUAUUUUUUUUUAUUUUACUGUGUAUUUUAAUUGUUUCUUAUUUUAUAUCUAGUCAAAUAUCAAAUUACCUCUUAACUUAAAUUGUAAUAACGAAAAAGUCAUAGUGAAAAUACAAAAAUAUCCAUUGAUGCUAGGUUAAAGUUUUUGCUUUCAAGGUAUCUGAUUGUUUUAUUAUGCAAUUAAAAUGAGAAAAUAUGUAUUUGUUCUCGGUUAAUUUAAAAAUAACAAAUGAACCAUGUAAAAAGACUUCAAUACCUUUGAAAGCAAGUGUAAAUGUUUUUGGAUAGAUUAAUAAAAAUAUCAUUAUAUUGUUCCAGGGAACAAUAUGAAUGAAUAUAUAGCUACAAUAAUUUUCCAAUACCAAUAGGAUAAAAAAAAUUUAUUCUAGUUUAUCCUUUUAAUAUUUGCCUCCGUAUAUUAAAAAGAAAGACUUUAAAAUAAAAGGAUUUAUAAAAACUGUAAUAUAACCUGAUGAUGAUACACUUUAGUGGAGCCUUGAAUAAGAUAUAUAUAUAUAUAUAUAUAUAUAUAUAUAUAUAUAGACACACACCUUCGAACACUUGGAUUCAUUCCUGGUGAUGAUGAACUGCAGUAAUUUUUUAUGAUUUCAUUUUAAUUUUAUUUAUAUAUUGUAUUGUAUUUUACUUUAUUUUUUGUUUUCUUAGAAUUUAAUUUAACAUUUAUACAAAGACAAUAUAUAUCUUAAGAGAAGACAUAUCAUAUUUCAUGCUCCCACUUGGAACAUUAGGCAUUUUUAUUACAAGAUUUUAUCAAUAACGAACAACUCAAUAGAUGAAAAAAUUAAAAUCCAAACACGCAAUUAUGAUAAUUAAAAGACUUUAGUACUUAAUUAAAAAUAAGUCUUCAUAUAAUUUUUCAUAUAAGCAUACUUAAAAAAAAUUAUUUUAUUUUAUAUCAUGUUCUUUUUUUUUUUGGACAGAAUUUUUAUAUCCUGUUGUUAUUGCAAAGUUUCAUAUUUUGUUUUUUCAAAAAAUAGAAGAGAAAUAGAGCUUUAUUCUUUUUUAAAAUAGACACAAAAUAAUUUUUUUCAAUUAAAAAUAUAUAAAACUAACUUGUCAUUCAUAUUUAAAAAUAAAUUUAGUUUGAUUAUAUGAUGAAGAAAAUUUAAUCAGAUGUAAAAAAAUAAAAUAAAAAGAUAAAUCAUAAUCUAAAAUAUAUUUUUUAAUUGCUUAUAUUUAGUAAUAUAUACCUAUAACUUAAACUCUUGAAUAGAACAUUGGAUCUUGUAUACUGAUAAAUAAAUAAAAAUAUUUUCUCCUAACAAAAUUAUUAUUAUAAUAUCCAUGAUUAUUUUUUCUUACAAGGAACUCCUUUGUUCAAAUAAAAUUUAUGGUUAAUCAAUCCAUCUACCUUUAUAAAUUAGGCGUGUUCUCUCAUAUGUUAUUUUAAAACUUUUUUACUCUCAUGUGCCCUUUAUAUUUAUAUUCUCUCUCACACAUCUUUUUUUAAAAAAACUUUUGAGACAAAAAUAUCCCUCAAACUACUAAAAUAAGAUUUUAUUUUUAAUACAUAAAAUAUUAGAACAAUUAAUUGUGAAAAAAAAAAUGAAAAACCAAGAAAGUAUAAAAUUUCAGGAAAAUCAGAAAAAAAGGCAUGAAAAUUGGAACAUCCCAAAAAACCCUAUAUAAAAAAAAAGGAAACUAAUGAAAACUUUUAAAAAAUCAUGUUUUACAAAAAUUAUUGUAGGCAUAUACAUAUAGGCUUUAUUUUUUAAUACACAAAUUUAUUCAGGGUUCCAACGACUUUUAAUACCGUGGACUUAUAAAACAAACACACUUGAUAGUGUUAUAAUUGUGAAUCAGGGCUAGAUAAGUAAUAGAAACUAAGAUAUGAUGGAGCAAAUAUUUCAUGACGGAAAAAAAAAUUGUGUUUUGUGAGGAAAGAUACAGUGCUUUCACCACAUGAUUUAACUUUUCUGUUAAUAAAAAGUAAAAAAAAUUACAAAGCUAAAUUCUCUACCAACUUAAUAUUAAAAAAAAAACCAACAAAGAUAAUUUUGGAAGGAAAAAAAAUCCAUGAGGAAAAACAUAAUUUAAAAAAAAAUCAACAAAUAUAAUUUUGAAAAAUAAAAAAAUAAAAUAGAAAAACUAUGUGGAAAAGCACCGCAGCAAUUCACAGUAUUUUAAAGGAAAAAAAAUUACAAAACAAAAUUUUUAAUCAGCUCAAUAUUUAAAAAGUAAAAUCAACAAAAAUAAUUUUGAAAAAAAAUAAAUGAAAAAAAAAACAGAGGAAAGUUGAAAAAAAAAAGGAAUGCACUGUGUAUUAUUGUUGUAAUCCACAGUGAUUUUGGUGUGGGGAACAGUGAUUCCCCCACACCAUUUAGAUAUAUGUAUAAUUAAUAGAGUUUUUACAAAUUCAUUGAUUUUGAAUAGUUCAAUUUUAUUACAUGCGGGGAUCACAUAAGCGGCACAAGUAAAACAUUUAUGCUACAUUUUGAUUGGGGAAGUCUUUUGUAAUUUUAAUAGAGAUUGUCAAAAAAGUAUAAACCAUUUUGUCUAAAGGAGUCAAUGAUAAUAUAAGACUAUUGAAAUAUUAUAUUUCUACGGGUGAGAAGUUGGUAGUUGGUCUUAUUAAUAGUGCUGUUACUAAUUGUCAGCUGUAUCUUGGGGCUAUGUAUGGUCACCAAGAACAAAUUCGUGAGUGCGGUAAGGCUUAAAGUGAACAAUAUCUGGCAGGUUGGGCCGGACUAUUAUAUUUGGUAUCAGAACCGGCCUCACUAGUUGUCUGGCUGUGCCGAUUGGGUUGUCGUGCUUUUUAAAGGGAUGAAUUAUAAUAUUCCACAUCGACGAGUGAAGAGUUGAUAGCUAGUCUUAUUAGUAGUGUUGGUUGCUAACUUGUCAGACAUGUUUUGGAAUCAUGUGUGGUCAUCAAUAACAAAUCUAUGAGGAUGGUAAAACUUAAAACGAAUAAUAUCUAACAAGUUGGGCUGGACUGUUACAACUAUAAUGAAGAAUCCCUUAUAAAAAUAUUUUUUUUGUCAAACAAUAGAGUUUCUGCAGAAUAAUUAUAUAUAUAUAUACACAACCUAAACAUGAGAUCAUAAAAUAAGAACAAAUUGCAUCGAGGCUUGUGGCCCAGCGGCAGAGGCAAGGUUUCCUUGCCUCUGUCACCUGAGUUCGAGCCUCAGCGUACACGCCUGUCACCCCCGCGGUGUCUUACCUGCCUACUGGGCUUGCAAGGUGUUCAGUGGGUCAGGGGAUUAGUUGUGGUGCGCAUAAGCUGGCCCGGACACUCCGGAUUAAAAAAAUAAUAAUAAUAAGAACAAAUUGUUUCUAUAUCAUGCCUAACUUGUCAAUUAUAUAAUAAAACAACAUCCUGAAACAGCCAUAUUAGCCAGCAGAUUGAAUAAAUAAAAAAUUGUAUAAUCUUGUCAUCAAGGUACUCUUUAUGAAAUGACCAUUAACUUUAAUAUAUUUAAUGCAAUUAUGUUGAAUAAGAUUUUGUACAAUUUAAUUUGAUGGCUGUCUUAUUAUCAUGGUGGAGAUUUAUAAGUUUAUAUAAAAAAUAUUUUUAAAAGCAACGGGACAAUAUCAAAAUUAUUUUACAAAGUAUUUUUUUAUUUUAAAAUAUAUUAAAAUAAUAUUUUUUAUUUAAUUUUUAAAUUUCAUUUCUUACAUCAAUAUUUCAAACGAUAAAAAAACACAAAAUGGUUUUAUGCAUGCCGCAAACGAAAGGGAGUUGCUUUGAUAGUACGGCACCAUCUCCAUCCGGUCACCGUCCUAGUGGAAGACCGUGAAAAGACCUAAAGGGCUGUUUCUGCCAACGCACGGGAUUUCUAUAAGACUCUUCUCCUCUCCCUCUGCUUUGUUUUUUGGCCUGGAUAACAACUUGCUUUGAUCUCGACAUUUCUACUUCUGCCAUCUGGCAAUAACAACCAAAUCAAGGUAAGCUAGCUAAAUUAAUCUGCUCCUCUUUGUGUUUGCAAAUAAACUUUUGCAUGAAAACAGUAGAAAGCAAAUAUGGGUUUGCCUCCUUAGUUCUUUUGCUGAAUGGAGAAAUAAAGAAAAGUUAACUUACCAAGUCAAAAGCUUUUAUUAUGAAGAACUGCUUAAACAACAAAGCUUGAAUCUUUAUCUUCUUUUUUUAAUGUCGUGACUUUUAUGCAUUCAAAGGAACAAGAAAGGUUCUUGUUAUAUAUCAACGCUUAAAUUGUGCAAAAUCCUUGUAUAAGUUUAAUUAAUGACUUCUGAGCUUUUUUGUUGUAAUCCCAUUAUGGAGCCAUCUGCUUCAGCUCAAUGAAAAUCGCUAUUUCUUUUUCUUGAUGUAAUUUUUUUUGUGUGGAAGUGGGUUUUAUUUGGUGAUGAAGAAUCUCUUAGAAUUUGUUGCCUACAUUAAUGAGAAGUUUUAUCGCGAGUUAUUGAGAUAUUGUGUUCAUUUGGAUGCUUAUUUGGUUUCUGGGUUCAAUUCUCGGUUUGCUAACUACUUUAUAUGGUCCAAUUCAAUUCUGGGUUCAAUGCGAUUAUUGUUGCCAUCAUCAUUAGACUGACAAAUGCCUUUAUACCUUUUCCCUUUCGAAGUGUCUGGUUAAGCAAGAAUAGGCUUAUGGGAAAGGAAUUUUAUAAUGACAUGAUUUAUGGCUUAUUUUUGCAGGGCUGGGACUCGAUUUUGGUGGAGGCAUUCAUUCGUCUAAACAAUCUGGUGAUGACUUGUUUUUUUUCAUUUUGCAAAGGGAAGGGAGUUUCAAGAGCUACUAGACAAACUCUAGAAGCUGAUGAUGGUAUGCAACUCAAGGGUUAAAAAAUUAUUAGCUGACACUCUAUUAUUUAGUUUGAGAAUUUUCUGAAUCAAUUUCUCUUAGAUCUACUUAUCGAGUAAAAGUUUCUGAUAUGAAAUAGCAGCUGUCACAUAAGCUGCCCACAGCAUGAUUCUCUGACUUGCUUUCCCUUCGUUUUUUUCCCUAUCCUUUUCUUCUAUGGAAAAAUAGGCACAUUCCCUCUCACACGCAUACACUUCAUGCUCAUUGUAAAACUUUUUCUCCCAUUUGUUUUACGUGUGUGCAAAAGCUUAUAAUGGAUUUAUAUGGUACAGAGGUUUCGGGGUCACAGAACAUUUGCUGUUACACUCAUAGGGAAUUGCAAAUGGCAACUGAAAACUUUAAUUCAGCCAAUAAAGUUGGAGAGGGAGGUUUCGGUUCUGUCUACAAGGUGAUUUUACAUGCUUAUGUCUUUAUGAAAAAUCUUGAAGGGAUUUUGAGGGUUUUAAUUUGUUACUAUUAAACUUAUCCUUGAUCUGAAUUCCAGUAAUUUAAUGGACAGGGAAUACUUAAAGAUGGCACUGUGGCUGCCAUAAAGGUACUGUCAGCUGAAUCAAGGCAAGGUUUACGGGAGUUCUUAACAGAAAUAAAAGUGAUAGCAGAUAUAGAGCACAAUAACCUGGUUAAAUUGUAUGGUUAUUGUGCAGAUGGAAACCAUAGAAUUUUGGUCUAUGGCUACCUUGAGAAUAACAGCCUUGCACAAACACUUCUCGGUAAGCACACCAUUCAUCCAUGGUUUUUGUUUUCAAACAGCUCAGGUUAUAUUUUUCGUUUAUCCUUAAGGUGGAGGCCAUAGCAGUAUCAAAUUCAGUUGGUCUACAAGGCGCAAAAUAUGCGUUGGAGUUGCACGAGGGCUUGCAUUCCUUCAUGAGGAAGUCCAGCCACAUAUUGUUCAUAGGGAUAUUAAAGCAAGUAACAUUCUCCUUGAUAGUGAACUCGAGCCCAAAAUAUCAGACUUUGGUCUUGCAAAACUUUUCCCAUCCCACCUGACUCAUAUAAGCACACGAGUUGCUGGAACUACGUAAGUUCAUAAACCUGUUAUAUUUGCUUCUCACAGGUAUUGUUGUUCAAUGCAUUGUAAAAUGAAAUGCAACUCCUGUUGCUUUUUAUGAUCUCUAGCAGUUUGUUUUACUAGCGUCUAGCCUAAUUGCUGCAUAGUGUUCUGGAUAGGUUGAUUUGAUUGAAUGAUGUUCCUAUCUAGUACCUUAAACAUGUCAUACUGUUGCAUCGUAUCUCAUAAUAUUUCCCUUGUUAUAUCUCUGUGGGGUGGGUGGGAUCAUUUAACAUUGGUUCAUACCUUCUUUCAAAAUCUGGGUUCACAGACUGUUACCAUACUUGAUUUUUUAUGAUUUCUAAUUUGUUGGAAUAAUCUCUAUGCAGGAAUUAAAUUGUGACUUAAAAGCUACUGUAUUGUGACUUAAAAGCUACUGUAGAGCCAGCCAAAAUAUGUAUUAUGCUUAUUAGAAAGUGAAAAUACAAGUCUUCGAUGAUAUGCCAUAAUGUUUGAUAGGCAUAGAUAAACUGUGAUUUUCUUUUUGCGUAUUUAACCAAAUUGCCAUGUUGAAACAUUAAACAAUUUUCUGUUCUUGUUGCACAUGUGCAGAGGAUAUCUGGCUCCAGAAUAUGCAAUUCGAGGUCAGCUGACAAGGAAAGCUGAUAUUUACAGUUUCGGUGUUCUAUUGUUGGAAAUUGUUAGUGGGAGGUCCAACACAAAUAGGCGGUUACCCACAGAAGAGCAAUGCCUGCUUAAAAGGGUAUGGGGCCUUCUGAAACUCACUGCAAAUUUGUCUUAAUGCUAUUAAAGAAAAUUCAGAUUUUGUUUUUAAUAGAGUAUGAAAGAUGAUUCUCUUUAACUAAAAGCAGGGAUUCUUUCCUUGAAUUUUGUUCCAAUUUGAGUUCGAAAAACAUGAAGACUCGUAAACCAGGUUCUUGAUUCCUGCAUCUAAAAUUUAUUUUUGUGAUGCUUUAUUUUCCUGAAGUGAUAUUUCUUUGUAGACUGCAUUUGCAUCUCUGAUAUUCUGGGUAUAAAAUUCAAAUCAACCAGGCCAUGUUUCCAAACUAGCUGGGAGUGGCUACAUUGAUUUCCAUUUUCUGUUGAGUUCAAGCACAGGGUAAUGUGGGCCUGUGCAAGUUUCAAACCCAAAGGGCUUUCACUUGAGGGGGUGUAUUAGAGAAUAAUAUAAAUUAUAUCCUGGGACCUCACCUAAUAGCUUAAGCUAUUGGGUUGAGAUGGUUCUUUGACAAAUUUCCUUGUAAGAUUGAAUCCCUAAGCUUAGAAGAUGACUGUAGCUUUCAGUUUUAAUAAGGUAGCCUAUUCUUUUUUCAAUGGGACAAGUGUUACUUGUGUUGAGCUUGGGAUGGCUGUUCUGAUGUCCUUUCUUCUGCAUUUUUCUUUAGAAUAACACUGCAACUGAUCUUUGCAGAAUAACUUUUAAGUAUCAGCCAUCAAAACACUCUAGAAUAAUUGUUCAUUUUUGUUCCAUGUUGGGUGGAUCCAUUACCCAUUUCAAAGUAGAAACAUCACUCCCAUCUUCAAUCUACAAUUCUGCUUCUUGACCUUUGAGCUUUGUGGUAUUUUAGGGAGUCAGUAUACAAUCACUAGUUCUUAUGAAGCAUUGGUCUUUCACUUACUGUCAUGCUCUAGUUUCAUAAUCCUUUGUUCCCGAUUCCUUAUGAAGGUUCAGCGAUCCUUUCAGUUAAUCAACAGCUUAUGAGCUUAAACUGUACAAUAAUCUUGUUUCAUUUUCUCCAAUCAAGUCUUAACGGAUUUCAAAGUAGUUGUCCUCUGAAUUUGUUCACAUAGAGAUCUUGUCACGUAAAGAUGCAAUCUGCAGGUAUGGGUAUUUUAUGAGAAAGGGGAGCUGGUUAACUUGGUGGACACAUCGUUGGGAAGGGAUUAUGAUGCUGAAGAGGCUUGCAAGUACCUGAAGAUAGGUCUUCUUUGCACCCAGGAAGUGUCAAAGUUGCGUCCCUUGAUGUCUACUGUUGUCUCGAUGUUAAUGGGUGAGAUGGAUGUGAAAGACAAGAUAUCAAGGCCUGGCUUGCUGUCUGAAUUCAGGAGUCUCAAAGGUGACAAAAAGCAGAAAGACAGAGACCAGAAUGACAAGUGGGAAACGAAGAAAUCAUCUCCAAAUUCAAGCAAGCUCGAAGAUUCGUCUUCAUCAUCAGGAAUGGCCACUUCAUAUGCUUCCAUGACCUUCAACUCAAUAUAUGACCGGAGCAAUUAACAGCAGUGUCCAAGUUUUGUUUUAGGGAGCAAAUGUAAGUGCAUACUUUACUUUCAAAAGCAAAUUUUCUGACAAGUAUUAGACUAUUUUACGGUAGCUUCCCUGCGAGUGACAACCUCCUUGUAAAUUCUUUUAUAGAAAAAUACUCUUUUUUUUUUAUUCUGUUGAAUAUAACUUUUGUAAAUCUGAAAAAAAAAAUAAUUUUUUUCAAUCAAUGUAGUGGGGUCCUUCUAUCAUUCACUCUGCAGCGUAGAUGUGUUUGAUAUCGUGUAGUUUUAAAAAAAAUUAAGAAAUAAUAUUUUUAAUUAUAGUUUUUUUUUUAAAAAAAAUAUCUUAUAAAACUAGGUUAUUUUAGUUUAUAUAAAAUUAAGGUUUAAAAUGUAAUUAUGUAUAAUACCUAGUAGAAAACACAAAAGUUAUUUAACUAAUUAUUAAUUUUUUUUUUUAUGGUUGGAUAAAGAGUAGAAAUUAUAUUAAUACCAAUAAAGACUUUGAAAAAAGCUUGCAACAGUUACAAAUUAAAAUUGCCAUCCUAUUGAUAUUGGCCGGCCUCAACUCCAUACUGUUAUUUGAUAGCAUCUAUCUAUAUCCAUUAUUGGAGGACUUGAAUUUGUUGUGAUGAUAUGUAAAUAAAACCAAUACAACUAAAAGUGAUUAUUCUUUUAUUUAUUGUAUUGUGAAUUGAAAUAUUGUAAUGAUUAUUUUAUUAUUUUAAGAUAAAAUUGUUAAAUUAAUUAAAGGGAUAUUAUAGCCUUUUCAUAAUGUUUAUUGAUCAUUAUCAGAAUGAUGAGAGACAAAUUAAUUUUUAAUAUUUUUAAAGAAAAUAAAAUAAUUAAAUUACCUUUAAAAAAUUAAAUUAUAAUCUAGGGUUUUUUUUUGAAUUUUUACUUUUUAAAGCAGGGUAAAAUGACUAAAUUAUCCUUAUAAGCAAAUUUUUUUGAGUUGACAUCCAAUGAUAUUAUCAUAUUUUCAUCCUGGUAUUUUAGUUAUAAUCAAUAAUUUGAUAUAUUAAUAAUUAUAAAAUAUUAUUUAUAAAUCAAAAGUUGAUGGCGCAUGCAGUGUCUUCCAAUAUCUAAACACUGGCUUCCACGAUGACAAAUUGAAGUGGUACACCAAGCUUUUUUAGGUGGCCCCGCGUGUUGAUGGAAGACCAAUGGUGUGGCUCCGACAAACUUUUUUACUUCUCCUUCCUAUUUUCUCUCUCGUUGCCUUGGGUUUUGCAUUUGGCUUUUCAAAAAUUAAAUGUUUACUGUCUAUUUAUAUUUGUAUCAAUUUUUAUUCUUAUUCUUUUGAUUAUUUUGAUUUUAAUGCUUUUUGAAGUUGAUUUUGUUUUUAAUUUCAUCUCUUAAUAUUUGAUUUCAUUUAAUUUUUGUAUCCAAUUUCGUCCUCAUUCUUUUGAUUGCUAUUUUUUAAUUAUUUUAUUGAUUUAUUUUAUUUUUUAAUUUCAUUCCUCAUUAUUUACUUCAUUUCAUUUUUAUACUAAAUUUGGUCCUAUUUUUUUCAUUGCAAUUUUUUUUAGUUUUUUUUAUUCUUUUCUUUUCUUGAUUUUUUUUCAAUAUCAUCCAUCAGUAUUUGGAUGAUUGAGAAUUUUGCUUCGUGAUUUUCUCAUGUUUUCCUUUUAUGGGUAAUUUCAGUUUCAUUACUCGAGUCAGGAUUUUUGAAGAUUAGCCCGAUUUAAUUUCAGUUUUUUAGGUCUUUUUUUUUCAAUUUCAUUCUUCGACACUAGAUUACUAGGCUUUGAGUUUCAUGAUUUUCUUUGUUUUCAUUUCUAUGGAGUUACUUCAAUCUUAUGUCCUGAGUUGCAGGUUAGUCGAGUUAACUCGGGUCGACUCAAGUUUUUUUUUAAAUUUAUUUUUGUUUUAGUUUCUCCUUUCAUCAUUUAGUUUUCUUCAAAGUUGACAUCAAUUUUCUUAUUCAAUUGUUUUUGUACAAGAUUAUUUCGGUUUUAUGAUCGGGCUGUGAUUUUGGCAUGCUGAUUUGAACUGAUUUUUUUUAUUCUUUUUUAAAAUUAAUUUUUUUUCUAGUUUGUCCUUCAAUGUUUGAUUUGCUAGUAGUUGAGCUUAAAAUUAUUUUUAUGAGGUUAUCUUGUUCUCAUUUAAUUUUUAUUUUGUUACCAAAUAAUAUUAUUGAGACCUUCUAAAAAUAUUUAGAUGAUAAUUUUUCAUAAAAUUGACAAGUAUUUAGUUUUUUUUAUUAGUCAUCAUCAGGUUUUUUAUGUUGUUGUUAGUACUGGAACUUGACUGAGGCUUUAAUAUCACUUUAUUAGGGGAAAAAAGAGUAUGUACUAACAAAAGUAUGGUGGAAACAUAUUAUAUAAGAGGGAAAGUACAUAACUUAUUCAUAUCAUAUUACUCUUUUAAGAGAGAAAGUUCAAUUGAUUUAAAUUAAGAUUAUAAUUCUUUCAAUACAUGUACUUAUACUAUUAUAGAAUAUUAAAAGAUAAUGACAUCUUUAAUAAUUAUACAUGCAUCUAUAAUAAUUAAAUAACCUCUUUGAAUAUAAACUUCAAAAUUAAUUGCAAUAUUUUGAAAAUCUCAAAAUUAAGCCCAACACUCUUGAAGUUUGGAAUGUGUCAAUCUUAUCAUGGUUGGGCACCUUUCUCAUCUCUUGACAAAAAUAUUAAUUAUUUUUAUAUAUUUUUUUGCAAGUCAAAUUGGUGGCCACUAUUUUCUGGAUCUUCCAUUUUCAUCUUUAAAAGAUCUUUCUUGGAUCUUUAUCGUAGUCACUCUAUAGUGAAAAUACAUUUUUUAAUAAUUAAACUAUUUAUUUAAUAUUUUUUUAAGCAUUGGUUUAAUAGUUAAUAAUUAAAAAUAAAAAGUCCAUAUAUAUAUAAAAGAAACGUUUAAAAAUUCCAUAUAAUUUCUUAUAAACAUAGGUAAAAGUUAAAACAACAUUUUUAAUAUCAUACAAUUUUAAGAAUGUUGUACAUCUAAAAAAAACAUACAUAUAGAAAGAAAGUAUCAUUAUUUUUUACAACACACAUAAAUAGUCAUUUCAAUAAAAAAACAUAUCUUAUCAUUUUUAUUUAAAAGUAAAGUUAGUUGAUUAUAUGAUAUAAAUAAAAAUAAUUAAAUAUAAACAUAAUAAUAUGAUAAAUAUGAUAUGAAUUGUUUUUAUUUUUUUUAUUUUAAUUACUUAUAAUUGAAAACUAUUAUAAAACUUCAAAGAAAAUAAAACUUGAUAAAACACUAGACCUUGUAUUUUAAUAUAUAUAUAUAUAUAUAUAUCUUCUUCUACCAAAUUUUAUAUUAAAAUUACAACAUUUGUUAAUUCCCUUUAUUCAAAGAGUCAUUUUUUCAAAUAAAAUUCACAUUUAAUAUAAGUGCAUAAGGUUUAUGAUUUGAUUAAAAGUUUUAUAUAAGGCUUCAUUAACUUUUAACCAAAAUAUUCGCAUUCAAUUUUUUUAAAUUAUUUUAUUUUAAUGAAUUUAAUUUUUAUUGUAUGUGAGGAAAAUAUUAGAAAUAUAGGCAUGGAUAAAAAUCUUUUAUUAACUUUUUAUUAUUCGAGUCCUUUUUCAAUACUAGUAGAGCUUGUCAAAAAACAUAAAAUCUAAAGAAUCCAAAGAUAAUGUAAGACAAUAACCAAGGGUCCCUUAUAAUAAAAUAGCUAAGGUAUAAUUUAAUAAUUUACUGAAUUUUUACAUAAUUUUAUUAUUUUUUGAUUUACUAAAAUCUUAUAUAAUUUUACUAUUUUUUAAUUAUACAUAUGUGAAUAGAAAUUAAGAAUAGAGGCAUGAAUAGAAAAGUGAUGAAAUAUUUUAUGUAAAGGAUUCUUUUUAAAAUUAGGAACGAUUAUAAAAAUAAAAUAUGAUAAUAUUUGUCAUAACCUAAUUUUUUACUCUUAAUAUUUUUCAAAAAUAAAAAAGCAAAAAAAUAAAAAAUACAUAUGUUUUUUAUGCAUUUCAACCAUUCACACAUCCAUUUUGAAACUUUUAACUAUUUUUCUUGUUGAUAUCUUCUCGAGAAAAUAAAAAAAUAUUUUUGACGCAUUUGCACUCAUUUCAAAAUUUUCAAAGUUUUUUUUUUAAAUUAAAAUUCAAAAGUAUGCUUUUGAUGUAUUUUGGCCAUUAAUGUGUCUGUUUUGUAACUCUUGAUUAUUUUUUUUAUUGAACUAACGUUGAUGUUGUUUUUCUUAAAAAAAAAACAAAUAAAAUGAGAAAAUAAAAUAAAAGUCAAAAUAGAGGGUAAAAUGGACAAAGUGCUAAAGUGAAAAACAAGAAAAAUGAGGGACCAAAAUAAAAUUGAGUUAGUUAGGGACCAAGUAACUAAAAAAAAAGAUUAUAAAAUUUAUGGAUUAUAAAUAAAUGAAUGAAUUGUAGAGAAAAAGAGACCCACCACACAAAAGAACCUUAUCUCUUCCAUAAAAAAACCCCUAACCUCAUCUCUUUCACCAAAAACCUUAGCCACCAAGAGAUAAAGAGAAAAGGAGAAUAAGAAAGAAAAGAAAGGAGAGAACCUAGUCUCUCACACCAAAAACCAACCUACCAAAAAACCUAGCUUCAUAUCUUCCUCUUCCCCUUUGAUCACAAAACCUUAGCUAUUAUUGAAGAGAAAAAUAAAAAAUAAAAAUAAAGAUGGAGCAAGAGAGAUAGAUAGAGAGAGUGUGUUGAAAAUUUAGAGAAAAAAAAACAUAAAGAAAGCAUAAAAGAACAAAAGGAAAAGAGAAAUUAUCCCUUUCAUCUCUCUUCUUUACCAACUUUAGCCACUACACCUCUCACCUACCAUUAUAAGCUCCUCUAUGACAUCCCAAGUAACAUAACAACAUGUGAUGGCUAUAAAUAAAAAAAGAAACUAGAAGAGAAAAAAGAAAAAUGAAACAACAAUAAAGAAAAGAAAAAAAACAUACAAUCAGACUUUUAAACUGUUAAAUCUCCUCCCAUCAAUGGUGAUGGCUUACAUCACUACCACCAAGAGGAAGGUCAAGGAGUGGCGCAACCUACUAGGUAGGCCACGCACCUCCCAUCUCCACUAUAAAGCUAGACUUAGCAUUGAAAGCAAGGCUGUCCAUAAUAGACAACAUCAAGGACAAAAAAAAAAGAAAAACUUUGAACAACUAGAUCUCUUUCCACCACCGGCGAUGACUUACACCGCCACUGCCAUUAGAAAAAAAGGGGGGGGGCAUCCCAUGGACUAGGCUGCACUCCUCUCCUUAAGAUUUAGAUAAACGACCUGACACAAUCUGAGUUGCGCUGUCAAUUUUUUAACAUUGUUUUGUCACUUUCACAUAUUGUUUCAACCUCUUUUAAUCCCUCUUAUACACUCCAAAAGUUCUAUUUUUAACUUUAAAUAUUUUAUUAUUAAUUAUUUGAUUUAUUGGACAUUUGAAUUUUUUAUGUGUUUAAUUUUCUAACAUGAUAUGUUUUGUAUAUAAAUAUACAUCAUGAAUGUGUUUCAUUAUGUGUUUAAUUUUCUAAGAUGAUAUGUUUUGUAUAUAAAUAUACAUCAUGAAUGUGUUUCAAAGUGUUUUCAAGUCUUUUUGGUUUUUAUGCAUCUAGGCCUAAUCUUUUAAAAUUUGCAUCUUACUCAUGUUUGAUGUUCUUGGUCAUUCCUUUGUAUUAUUUAUACACAAUUAUUUUUUACAUAAAAAUAUAAUAUUCACACUUAUACAUACAUUUGCGUUGGGUUUUUAGAACAUGUUUAUAAAACUCACUAAGGGUUUGAUCCAUUAAAAGGCCCUUGUGGGUCGACAUUCCAAAACCUAUUUUAAAAACUUUUUCUUUUUAAAAACCACAUCAAAAAAUUAAUAUUUUGUCAUUCACUCAUAUUGUUUGAGAUAAAUAAACUCAUAACAAGUUAUUAUCUUAAAUAUUAAUAAAGAGUAACACCUCGAUCUCUCUUGUUUUAAAACAUAUCUUGCUUUUUAAAUUUUAAGCUUUUUAAAUCUAAUAUUGAUUGAUGACAUCUAAGUGUCAAUCAGGGGUAUUAAUUUUUCUCAGUAAGUCCAAAGUGUUCGUGUCACUAGAUCUUACCUCAAAGUAGAUUAAAUCAUAAUACUACUUGGAUAUUUAGGACUAGUGUAAAAAAAAAAUGUCAUUUAACAAAAAUUGCAAGUGAACCUAAAUUUUAGAGGAGAAAUGAAUCUAAACAAGUCAUUAUCCAUAAGCCGAUGUUGUAUAAACAAAAUGUUUAGUGACAACUCAUUAUAUUUUUUGGGCUGGGUUCAAUUAGCCCAAUAAAAGUCCACCUAAUUAUUCAUUGGCAUGCCUGAGUCACAUGUUAUGAUCAAGAGUAAAUGAUUGUAUUUAUGUCAAUUCACCAAAUAAUUAAGAGUGACAAAAAUGACUUCGUUUUUAGAAUGGAUAGGCUUGAACCAACUCGUCCAUCUAGGGUUUAACUCAUUGUAAUUGAUCCAGUCUCAACCAUGUAGAUAGAUAUUAGUAGAUUAGGCACAACAAAUCAUUAGGAUUAAAAGAUAAAUAGCAAUGCAGUUUAUCGUAGAUGGAAUGUUUUAAGAUGAUAAUAUCUUUUCUUUAACAUAACCAAUCAUUUAUCUUGGAACUCUAAAGACUAGUUAGGAUUGUCUAAUAAUCAUAAUAUUAGGUGACAACUCUAUUUUAAAAUAAUACAUUGCUCUCUCUUAUUUUAAAACAUAUCUUGCUUUUCAAAUUUUAAGUUUUUAAAUCUAAUAUUGAUCGAUGAAACUAUUAUACACAUACACACACAUAAGGGCGGAGACAGGAGGGCUGUGCAAGGAAAAUUUUUUUCUAGCCCCUCCCUUAAUAAUAUUUAUAUUUUUAUCUUAAAUAAUAAAACAAUUAACAUUUUGCCCUCCUUAAUUUGAUUUUCUGGUUCAACCCCUACACGCGCCCGCACACACAUGAGACUACUAUAUACAAAAAAAAAAAAAAAUUCCUUAUAUAGAGUAAAGUCUUUUAAAUUUACAUAUACAAUUUUUUAAAGGUAUAAUAAUAUGUUUAGUAUUUAUUAUUAAAAUUCUUUUAAUAUACAUGAUGCUUAUUAAAUUUUAAAGAUAAUUUUGUCGAAUUAAAUAUAUAAUAGCUUUAAAAAUAACAUUGGUUGUUGCUAUCUCAAAAUGUGCAACACACCCUCCCUCUUAUAAAGGGGACACUAGGAAAAUUUAGCUUCUUUGUCACAGAAAAAGUUGGGCAUGAGACAUUGCGUUCGAACCCCUUUUGGUUUAAAAUAAACAAGCUAUGCAGAUAAUUGGUUACGAUAUCAUUGAAUUGAUCCUGCCAUUAGAGCAUUCUUUCAGCUUGCUUGUGUUCCCUUUUGUCCCCUGUAAGCAAAAUCCAUGGAGACAUGUCGAUCAAGUUGAAAUUCUUACUCGGUAACAAAAAACUGAGCAAGCUUCUUUCAAUCAAAGCAUAAACAUGAAAAGAUUUUCUUACUAUAAUUAUUUUUAUUACAGGUAAAUAGAGAAGUAUAUAAAUUGUGUACACUGGCUUGAUCUAUUCAAGAACAAUGAGUAAGAAAAGCAAUAACAAAUGUUCGAUCUAUAAGUUCAUCUUCUUCUGUAACAUCUAAACCACAAAAUCACAAAGCAUAGCACUCUGUACCCAAUGAUAAAACCAAGCAUCACAGCUAAAUUGCUCCAUUUUUGUGAAUCUUUUAGACCUUGCUGUCUUAGGAACCCGCUUCCAUAAAGAUUGCAUCUCCCUUUAUCAUACACUAAGCACCUCUCGUUGCCUUGCUCUCCUCCAUAUUCAUUUAUUAAGAAACAUUCAAAUGGGUACUUGAACAAACUCAAAUAGUGCAUGAAAACCCAGUAACUAGGAAUCUUACUCUUUGUUAUGAAGUACCCAGAAAAUAGGAAGAAAGAUCCCAUUAAUCCUGAAAUAACUGAUGUCCCCAUUAUGAAGUUAGGCACUAGAGCACUGAAACAAGCAACGAAAGAAUUUGACAUCAAAAUCACCAUCCACACCACUAGAGAGAAGUAAAGAAAUCCGUAGAUUGACAUCCUCAAACCAACAAGCCAAUAAACUGGGGUGGAGUAGAGAAGAGCAACCAUUAAAAGGAAAGGAAGAAAGAUGAGGGUGUUAGAUAGGACAUAAGAAGAAACCCUGUAGGCUCCUCUUGAAGUCUCUCUCAUUAGUAUUCUUCUUUCUUGCAAGAAAAUAGGCAGCCCUUCAGUUGAGGAAGAUAGCAAGAAGGUGAGGCUGAAGGCAAAGAAUCCGAUUCGAGUCUGCAAAGCGACCUGUCCUGUUUUCUUUCCAACAUUCAAGAAUAUGGUUCCAAGUAUUAGUCCUGCCACCAGUGCUUGUAUUACUCUUGCGACAAAUAGUUGCUUGGUUCUGAAAAUGUUGCUGCAAAAUCUUUGUCCUAGUAUCGAAACCUCCUCCAAUAUAGAAUUGGGAUAGCAGAGAGGUUUUUCUUGAUGAUUGUUGAAGUAUAGAGUCCUCGCGAUGUGGCCUUCAUUGUGUCUGAUCUCAUGAGGGCAUUGAUUGUUGAGAGACACUGAAUUUUGCUUAGACAGGCUUUCUAUAACAUCAAUAGAAAACUCAAGCACAUUGACAUGGAGAGGAAUUUGAUGACCAGAAAACCUUAGUCUCUCUUCAAGGAAAUGCAGUGAGCCAUCAUGGACAGCAUAUCCGUUGGAAAGCAAAACAAGCCGAUCAAAGAGCUCAAGUAUUCGAAAACUGGGUUGGUGGAUAGUUAAAACAAUGGUCUUACCCUGAUUCAACACCAUAGACUUGAGCAGAGUCGCUACAUGAAGAGCUGAUGCUGAAUCCAGACCUGAAGUUGGUUCAUCGAUGAAAACAACAGCAGGGUCGUGGACUAAAUCAACUCCAAUCGAAACUCUACGCCUUUCACCACCAGAAAUGCCCCAGUCUGAUCCCUCACCUAUCCUUGAAUCCGAAACAUGUUCGAGUCCGAGCUCCUUCAGUAGCCUUCUCACCCUACUAGCGGCCUCUUUUCGCCCUCCUGGUAGCCUUAAAAGUGCACUGUACAAUAGUGUUUCUUUAACUGUAAGCAAUGGAAAUAGAGAAUCAUCUUGAGUGACAAACCCGGAUAAUCUCCGGAAAUGUUUGGCAUUCAUUGGCUGGCUAUUUACCAGCACUUGACCAGACACUUUACAUGAAGGUAUCUUUCCAGCAAGGAUCUCUAGUAACGUGGUCUUCCCUGCUCCACUAGGACCAGCAAUCGCAGUAAUCUCGCCAGGACUAGCUGCACAGUUUACAUCCCUCAGAAUGAAUUUAGGAGCUCUUCUUGGGGUCCCUCCACAGUAAAUAAAAUCAAGCUCGUCAAGUUUGCUGCAUAACUUGUAGGACAGAUUUUUGGUUUCUAGUCUGUAUGAGGUUUUCUGGCCACCAGAAACCGGUGCCUUCACUGGCAAUUCCAUUGAGAGGAUGGAGGUCUAAGGAGAGUUGAAGCGGAAGAAGAUCAAAAUAAGAAAUGCAAGAUGUGAGGAGUAAAGACAGGAGAAGGAGAUGAGCUAACACACCAAACUGGGUGCUAGACACCAAGUUGAGCUUGCAAAAACAAGAGUAAAAAUGGCAUGCAUUGGCUUAGGCAGUUUACGCGUUGGGCUUGACUUGGUGGUGCUUUCAAUAUUGGUUCGGGGAAGCGAGGAUCUGGUAGGGGUUUGGAGAGUUGCAAGAAAACACGAAGAAAGAAAGGAAGGGAUGGUGGUGAAGUAUUUCAGGUGAGCUGAUUGUUGACUGUGUAAUGUUGGUGCUGGUGGCCUUACAAUCUUUCCCACCCUAACCACCGGCUCAAUAGUAGAUUUGACGUAGAAUAAUAAAAAUGGCCUUAAAUAUCUAAUCCAUGCUAGCUAGCUAGGAUGCUAAAAUGGUCAAAUUGGGACUUGUGUCCUCACUCGCAGGGAGAUGACUUUUAAUUAUGCAGGAUUUGUACAUUCGGUAUUGCGGUUACGGUUGCGGUUGCUGUUUGAAAAAAAUUAUUUUAUAAAAGAUAUUUUUAGUUAAGGUUGGUUUGAAAAAAUAUAUGUUUGGUUGAAACUGAAGUUGAGUAACAAGUAGUUUAAUGUAUUUGGUUAAAAAAAUACUUUUCAAAUUGAAGUUAUAUAUAUAUAUAUAUAUAUAUAUAUAUAUAUAUAUAUAUAUAUUUUGAUGGUUUUUAAUUUAAAUAUUGUAGAUUUAACUACCAUUAUUAUAUUAUUAAAUAAAUAAUAUUUUAUAUCAAAUACUUUUUAUUAUUCCAUUAAAUUAUCUACAAUUUCAUCACGUAUGAAAUUCAUCUGAUAAGAACUAUAAUUUUCAUGGUUUUUUGAGCGUGCAACAAAAUCAGGUAAAAUAUCAACAGAAACAGAAUUGGAAUUGCGAUCAAAUUCCACAAAUGUUACAUCAUCAUGCGAUGUUCUUCUAAUUUAUGUAGUGUUAUUAAAUAAUAUUAAAUAUUAUUUUUUUUUAGUAAAACACAAUUUAAAAAAAAUUAAAUUUUUUUUACCAGGUCGGACGCGGUACAAUAAAUUUUACUCGCAUGAAUAGUGCAAAACAAUUCACCUUGCACUAUUCACGUGAACAGUGCCAGGUGAAUGCUUCUCGCGGGUGAAUUAUAAUUCACCUGGCAAGGGCAUUGUUAUGAACAGUGCCCAUGUGAAUUACAAGAGAAGCAGCCGGAGAGAAGCAGCUCCCAGCUGCUUGUGCAAAACGCCGAUUUGAUGCCAAAAAUUAUGGGACCCACCAAAUAAUAAACUGCUGUUUACAUGUUACCAAACGUCUAAUUUACACGGUUUGCUUUAAAAGUAAAAGCUACCGCGUAAACAAACGUCCUCUUGGAAUGGCUAACUUGGGAUUAAUGUAGUUCACGCAAGACUCAAAUUAGUGAUGGAUUUGCAAUAGCAAGAAUCUCUAAAAGGAUGUUUAGGAAUAUAAUAAAAAUUAUUUUUAAAAAUAUUUAUUAUUUAAAAAUAAAUUUAAAUAUAUUUUUUUAUUUUUUUAUUUUUUUUUAAUAUUAUCAUAUCAAAAUACGAGUUAGCAGCCAAUCAAUCAAAGUAAUAGAAGAUGGCCUGAGCUUGGAAGGUUUUAAAUCAUUUGAGGAACAUGCUAACUGCUGCAUGGUUGGAGUCCAAUCUGAGGAAAUAGCCCACAUCUUUAGAAGGCUGGGCUUCCUUCUUCUAUUGUAUAACAUCCGUGGCCCAUUCCAAAACCUAUUUUACUAAUAUUAUAUAUUUACAAUAAUUCAAAAUAGCUAAAUAAGUUUGCCAUACUCCCUUUUAUUAUAAAUAAUUUAUUAUUUUAAAAAUAUCAGAAUUCAUUUUUUGUAUUACUUGGAAAUGAGAAAUUUUAUGUUUCUCGGAAAAUGAGAGAGAUGACCAUUAUAAAAUUUAUUUUACUGAUAGUAUUUUAUUAGUUAUUUUUUUAUCCAUAUUUUUUUAAAAUAAAACUAGGAAAGAUAAAUUCUAAGUUAAGAUAUUUUUAUAAUUUUUUGUGCCUCAUAGAUUUUAUUUUUUAUUUAUUUUUGUGUCGGUUUUUUUAAAAUGAAUUUAGAAAUUAAUUAAUAAAAUUAUCACAUUUACUUUUAAAUUUUUGGGAAUUUAUUACUCAGAAACAUAAAUCAUUUAAAAAAAAUACACUUUUUCAUAAAUCAGAACAAUGAAAUUCACCUUAGGGUCAUAAUAAAAUUUUAAUAAAAUUAAAACUCAUAGACUAGUAGAUAAAAUUAAAAUUAAACAAAAGAGAGAGAGAGAAGAAGAUGUUUUAAUUUUGACAUGACCAAAAUGCCAUUUCGAUAAACUUGAAGGACAUUUCUCUCUCUCCCUCCAUAAAACCACACCUAAACCCCACUCUAUUAGGGUUUCUCCAAUCCAGAAAAUGGCGACUUCACUCUUCACUCGCUCUCUCUUCCUCCAAAAACCCACCUCACAAACCCUAAUUUCCUCCCUCCUCUCUCGCGCCUUCACUUCCCACUCCUCCACCUCCACCGCCUGUUCCUCCUCUCUCCUCCGCCGAUUCCUCCGUCCUCUCUCCUCUGCAACCACCAUCAAUCGCUCCGUCUCUCGGAUUUCAAUCAGGUCGUUUUCUUCCAGUCAGAAAUCGUCUUCCCUCAACGACCCAAGCCCUAACUGGUCUAAUAGACCUCCAAAAGAGACUAUUUUGCUUGAUGGCUGUGAUUUCGAGCAUUGGCUCGUCGUUAUGGAAAAGCCUGAGGGAGACCCCACUCGUGACGAGAUCAUCGAUUCUUAUAUUAAAACUCUUGCUCAAGUUGUUGGCAGGUAAUUUAUUAAAGUUUAAACCUUUAAUUUAUUUCUCAUUUAAUUUAAUUAUUUAUUUCUCUUUUGAUUUUAUUUUAUUUAAGAUUGGUUUUUCUUUUGUUAUUUGAAAUGUUGGUAUUCGUUUUAGCAAUCACUGGUUUUUCUAUUGAUUUACUUUUAGUCUAUUUCUAUUGAAGUUAAUUGGUUUAGUCAUUUUCUAGUGUAUUUGUGUUUUGUAUUUGGUUACUUAUUAUUGAGGGGUUGUGCGCGUGCGUGUUCGUGAUUUUUUUUUUGGGUUUCUUUGUGAUUAUUUAUAGUGCUAAAUUUUUUUAUUUGGUACGAGUGUUUGAGGUUUCUGAUUGUGUACCUCACCAAUUUCUGGAGGGGUUUGAGUGCAUUUUAAUAAUACUCCUUUAAGGAUCAAGAAGCUUCAUUGCUUAAUUGUUACUGUAUCUGACUUUGAUGAGAAUUGUGUUUUAUAGUUUAACAUUUCAAUAUUGGGUUUUUGUGGUUUCUUUUUUAUUCUCCGAGAUGCUUUUAAUUUUGGAAUUUUAUAUUUUGCAUGCCUUCUUUUUUUAAGUGCGAGGAUCGCUGUAUAAAAACCUCUGAUCUUACCAGAGUAAUCUGGAAAGAAAUGAGUUUUUGUGAUGUGUGAAGUCUUGUUAAUAUAAUUAUUGUGGCUGUAUGGCAGUGAGGAAGAAGCAAGGAGGAAGAUCUAUUCAGUUUCUACUCGAUGCUACUAUGCCUUUGGAGCUCUGGUGCCUGAAGAGGUUUCUUACAAGAUUAAAGGUAUAUCUGCUUUUAAGAAGGGGCAAAUGCAAAGGGGGCUGGGAAUGACCCUGACCUUCCCAAGGAUGAAAACUGAUCCCCUUACCCUUAAAUAAUAUCAUGCAUUUGGUCCAUUUUAACCCAAAAAACAACUUUCAGAUUGAUACUUAAAAUAUGUUUUCUUAACCUAGAUGCAUCCUUCCUACAAUGUAAAACUACCUCCCUUCACUUAAAAAGAUGACUAUCGGUCCCUUUUCUUCAAGAACUGAUUAAAAUAGUUACCAAAAAUGGAAAAUUUUGCUCACUUUUAUUUUUCCUAAGAAAGCUUUUCUUGAAACAUGUUCAAGUUGUUUUAGUGGAAAAAAAAUUGGUUGCUGCUUUGAAGUGAUUGGUUUAUGAUGUUAUUUGUUUUUAAAAAGUUUGAAUGUGAUGGAUGUGUUCUGUUGGUCACUUUUCCAGAAUUGAAAAAUGUCCGCUGGGUUCUUCCCGAUUCAUACCUGGAUGUGAAGAACAAAGAUUAUGGAGGUAAGGAGCCUUUUUCUUUUGUACCUCUGUAUGUUAUACAAAUUUAUAUUGUUGUAAAUGCAUGUUUUUCUGCUUUGAGUAAUUGAAAGUUCUGUGUGCAUCUUGUUUUUAGUUUUUUUCUAUCUUUAAGGAAACUUCUGGAUCAAAUGUGAUGUGCACCAAGAAAUCAUGCUGAAUAUCUUGUCUCAUUCUAUGAUAGUUGAAGCUCGUUCUUUUCAAGUUGGAUGCAAUUGUAACACUUCUAGAUCUUGACCAGAUGCAGAGUGUACAAGAAUUUUUUGUAAAUUUACUAGGGUUUUGUCGGUAAUAUUUUCCAGGAUUAGCUUUGCUAUGUAGUUAUCAUGUUUGAGUGGCAGGUCUUUUUUUUAGGAAAAAAAUAAACGGGUAAAAAAAUUGCAGAACUCCAUCAGGAUUGUAUCUUGCCAAAUAGUCUCUGAUGCAUUGCCAAUCAACUGCAUUUGCUUGUUAAAAAUAGCUUCACAACCUUCAUUUUUAAACAUAAUUCCACACAGAAAGCUGCAUUUUGUCUUUUCUUAGUAAGGGGAUUAGGGAUACAGAUUACGGUGCCCUAAUUAUGUUCUUGUACUGCUAGGCUUUUGUUUGAUUUCCACUGAGUCACACUAGGAAUGGGUUUUUUCUUUUCUUUGAAACUGUGGUUAUGAAAAUAAGUUCUAAUGCCUCCUUUUAAUCAUAGGUCAUGGCUUUUACUAUUUAUUCUUUGCGAUAAAUUAAGUCAUGACACGAUGCUGUAUAUUAUUGUUGUUUGAUGAUAUUUUUCUAUUAGGCGAGCCAUUUAUUGAUGGGAAAGCUGUGCCCUAUGACCCAAAAUACCAUGAGGAAUGGAUUAGGAACAAUGCGAGGGCAAAUGAAAGAAAUAGGCGCAAUGAUCGACCUCGUAACGUCGACAGAUCAAGGAACUUUGACAGAAGAAUGGAAAACAUGCAGCCGCGAGGUGGAGCUCCACCUCCUCCUAUGGCUAAUCAGGCUAUGCGAAACCCUGCUCCCAACAUGGCUGGACAACCACAAAACAUGGGCAGACAAGGUGCACCACCGCAGCCACAAAACAACUACAGGGGACCAGGUGGACCGCCACCUAACAACUAUAAUAUGGGUGGACCAGGUGGACCGCCACCUAACAACUAUAAUGUGGGUGGACCAGGUGGACCGCCACCUAACAACUAUAUGGGUGGGCAGCAGAACAAUAUGAGUAGGGUGCCACAUAACAUGCCCAUGCAAAACUACAUUCCUCCACAGAACAACAUGCCCCCGCAGAACAAUAUGCCCCCUCAAAACUACACCCCCCAACAACACAACUACAUUCCUCCGCAGAACAACAUGCCUCCACAUAACAACACAGGAGGAUGGUCCAAUGACAUGCCUGGAAACAUGCAACACAACAUCCAGAAUGAGCCUGCCAAUGGAGGCUACCAAGGUGGACCAUCAAACUACCAGAACAAAUACCCUCCAAGCCAGGAUGCUGUGUAGAUAUGCAAGAUAUUUCAAAUGUCUAGGGCUUGUUCAAGUUUUCGAUGAUGUUAGACCCUGUAGCAAUUUUAAGGAUAGGAUUCAGUACCUGGUCUAUCUGUUGGAAGUUGAAACCUGCCCACAGUUAUGAAGGUAAUGCUUUAAAAAAGGAUAGAAUCGUUUUUGCCUACCCUGUGUUUUGCUGCUGUUAGCUUGUGUCAUAUUGCCUUUCAUGAUGCUAUUUCAGUCCUGGUGUAAUGCCAGGUUUGAUACCUUACAAGUUUAAGGUAUAAGUCUGCCCUGAUAGCUCAUAGCUCGUUGUUUUGUGGCAGUUAAUUUUCUCAUUCAAAUUUCUGUUGAGCAUAUCUCUUCCGUCUCCUCGAAUGUGGAAGGAAUAUAUGCUGGAUGCGUUUGAAAAUGCAAGAAAUUCUGGGCAGAUGAGAAUGUGGUCUUGUGAGCCCAAAGAGGGGUGCGGGACAGCAGCAGGGGGUAAUCUCUGCUGAUGUCGACGCAUUCCUUGUCAUUUGUCCACAAGAUUGAGCUUGCCUUUAAGCACUAAUCUCCACAACUAGAUUUUCUUUUCUUUGGAUGAACAGAAUUUGGUUGUUUUGACAAGCAGCGUGAAUGUGAUAAUAUCCUAUAGAAAUCAGGAACGCUGAAAUGGACAUUCUUGAAAAUUAACUUCUGACAUUGAUAAAUAGAACAGUUAAUGUGCUCGUCAAUCUUACGGUCCAGGGAUCCAGCCCUUACCCAUGUUUCGCCUGGGGGUUGCAUCUUAGAAAAUCGAUAAUUCAUCUCUUGCCAUGCUCUGCCAAAAUUGAUUCUUAAAAUAUUUUCCCUUUUUCAUGGGUUAUGAACUUCGUUUCCACCAGAAUUUGAAACGCAUAACAGCGCAAGUUGCCCAACUGAGCUCUUGCCUUGAAGGAUAUGGAAUUCAACUAGCUUAUUAUAUGUCAAAAUUAGCAAAUAAAUAGAUUCGGACAAAAUGCGGCUUCUAGGGAAGAGGGAAAAAAAAAAAAGAAGAAGAAAGAAAGAUAAAUAUAGCUAAAAAUAUUACAGUGGGACAUGAAAGAGAUGUUGGGUUUCUCAAAACUGUAAAUUAAUUAUUUUUUUUGGGUUUCAAAUAUUUUAUUAAAUAGAUAUAGAGUUGCUUAGGAUUUAUACAGUUUAUUUAUUAAAUAAAUAAAGUUUAAUAAAUAAAUUACUCUCAAAACUCUAUUUAUUUAUUAAAUAAAUAGAGUUUCAAAUAUUUUAUUAAAUAGAAAUGAACUUGUAUUUCUGUGCUGCUUCAUGGUCUGUGUACUAUGCAUUACCCUUGUCAAUUUUGUUUAAAAUGUAGCUCAAAAUCUAAUUUUUGUUCUGGGUCUCCAUUGUAUCUGUUUGCAGAACAAAGCUGCAGAACCGUGUUAGUUUGGACACCUAAAGAGAGAGACUGAGGUAAGUUCCUGCCUUAUCUCCUUCUUCAUUUUCAUUUUUUUAGAUGAAAAAUUGCAUGUCUGUGCAGCUGCAUGAUCAAUUACUGUGUGUUCUGCAAUUGUUGAAUUGAUCUACAAAUUUCAUUGUUGUUGCUGUUUGUCUUUUGUUUACUGUGCCUUUGUAUCAAUUACUGUGUGUUCUGCAAUUGUUGAAUUGAUCUACAAAUUUCAUUGUUGUUGCUGUUUGUCUUUUGUUUACUGUGCCUUUGUCAAUUGUUUUGAAUUUAGCAAAUUUCAUUGCUUCUCUGUACUGCUUUUCAUGACCCGUACUGUGUGUUCUUAACUUUUUUUACUUGAGCUAAACCUGCAUUUAUGUGCUUCUUCAUGGUCUAGCAUGUUAACUGUGCACAUUGAUGUUGUUUCUGCUUGAGCAACCGUGGAAUUCUUUACUGUGCGUGUGUUUAUAGUAAUUGUAAUGAGUGACCUGUUAGCAUGUCAUGUAGGAUUACUUUGAUUUCUACUUUUGAAGUCAAAAUCAGAACUUUGAGUUUGCAUUUGUAUGUUUGUAUGCUACGAAAGAAAGCUGUGUUACUUUGAAUGUAGAAAUAAAUUCUUGACUUUUUAUUUUUUUCCCCUUUGUUUUUAGCAUUCAAACAGCAUGAUGACAAUGAUGUUUUGCUUGAUAAUUCAAAUAUUAUAUCAUGGCUGAAACUGAGUUUUCUGAACAGUUGAAAAUUAAUGGGUUUCAAUUAGUUUUCAUUACAAAUUAACGGGAACAUUCUCAUUCAAAUAAAUUCAUGGUCAAUGUUUGUUGCUAACCACACAGCUUUUGUAAAUGCUGAAAAUUGAGUGUUUUAUUAUUGGUUGAGUCCACGGUUUAUAUAUGUGCCACAAUGUAAUUGAUAUCAUUGAUUGAUUUUAAACUUUUGUUAAAUGUGUUAAAAGAUAUCAUGGAAGGUCUUGAAUCUUUCGAUAAGGCUGCUUAGACAAAGGAAAUGUUGCAUAUAUUUUGUGAUAUAUGCAUUAAGGCAAUUGAUAUGGGAAUGAGACCUAAUACUUAUUUCGAUAAAAUGGGGUGGAAAUUUCUUAUAACAUCAUUCAAAGAACAAACUGGCCAUGCAUUCACUAAAACACAAUUGAAAAACAAAUGGGAUGGAUGCGAAAAGGAUUGGAGGAUAUUGAAUAAGCUGGUUUCUGAAACUGGUGUUGGCUGAAUUAGGCACAAUUUUAUCUAGCGAUGAGUGGUGGAAACAAAAAAUUCAGGUACAUUCCUUGUCAUCCUAACAAUUUCUUUUAUUGUUGUCAAAUUCCAACAUCGAAAUUUUACUAGUCUUGAUCCUUCAAUACUUGAUUUUAUUUAAAUACAAGAAAUAAGAGGAGCCAAAAAAUUCAGACAUGUCGGUAUUGAGCUGUCUUUGAAGAAUAAAUUUGACCGAAUGUAUUCCAACAUUGUCACAACUAGAGCGUUUGCAUGGGCUCCUUCAUCAGGACUACCUGCUGGCAGUGAUGUCGAUCCUGGUACAAGCAAUGCCGACAUUGAUCGUGAUGGUUUGGAAGAAGGAAGCGGUGAUUCAGAGGAAGAUGUGAUUCCAGAUUUUCAGAUUGACAUGGCUCGAAUGGUUGGAGGGAUAAAUAUGUCUAGCAGCAGCAACACAAAAAGCGGUGUCAAAAGAAAAGGACGAGAUCCUUAGAGGUGCGAGGUAGAAAGAAGAAAACAUCUGGAAUUGGUGUCCAGCUGCUGUCAAGGUGCAAUCAACUACUUGAGAGUAUGUCGACUAAGAGUGAUUCCACGUCUGUUAAUAUGGAUCACGAAGGUUGUAGUAUUCGCAAGGUGAUGGUUGAGUUGCACUCAAUUCCUAGAGUUUCAAUUGAAGAUGAGUUCCAUGACUUUGUUACAGAGUAUUUGAGUUUAAGAAGGAAAAGAGAAAUGUGGGCUAGUAUGGGUGAUAAGGAGCAGAAGUUAAGAUGGUUGCAACGAAUGUAUGCACGCACUAAACGUGCUUAGCUGACAUGGUAUUAUUUUAUUUUCUUAACUGUUAAUCAAUUAACUAUGUUCACUUGCUUAAUGUAUUUAUACAAGUUUAUUUUAUUGUUGUAGAAUAAUGGGAUGCUGGUUUUAAAAAAGAGUAUUUUCCAAUUGCCGAAGUUUAUCCGAGUCAUUGUAUUCUUUCACAUUUCGUGUUGAGAUGUAUGGGCAUUUCCAUUUGCGGUAAUUUGUUUACUGUUGUAUUUAUAUUAAACUGCUUUCGGGAGUUAAUAUACUUGUAUGAGAAUAUUGUUGGUUUUUAAUGUUGUAUUUUAUCAAUGAAUUAAAACUGUCACUUCGGUUUUUAUUAAUGUUAAAUGGUUGACCCUUGGAUGGAAUUGGUUGGUAAUUUUCCUUCAUUGUGUUGUUCCCUGAAGGUCUUGAAUCUUGAGCGUUACUGUUAAAAUGCUUGUUUUAUUGUAAUAUACCAUGUGCAACCUUGUUUGUUUUCUUUUCUGUCGUGAGGUGAUGAGAGCUGCUGCCUUGUGUGUCCAGCUGUAAUUGUAUAAUAUACCAUGUGCAGCUAUUGUGUGAAUAUUGGUUUGUUUUCUUUUCUGUAGUAAGGUGAUAGGAGCUGCAGCCUUGUUUGUGAAGUUGUAUUCAUUGAUAUACCAUGUGCAGCUACUGUGUGAAUAUUGGUUUGUUUUCUUUUUCUGCCGUGAGGUGAUGGGAGCUGCAACCUUGUUUGUCAAGCUGGAAUUCAUUGAUAUACCAUGUGCAGCGACUGUGUGCUUGUGAGGUGUGAAACCUGCAUUUGUUUUCUUUUCUGCUGUGAGAAUUAAUGGAAGCUGCUGCCUUGUUUGUUAAUGCUGUUAAUGCUAUUCAUUGCUGUUAAAAUGAUUGUUUCAGCUACUGUGUGCAAGUGAGUUGUGAAUAUUGUUUCAGCUAUUGUGUGCUUGGGAGCCAGUGUAUGAAAUACAUGUAUGUGCUACUGUAACUGCUGUUUGAGUUGCUGGAUUUGUCACCGAUUUAAUUGGAAUACAUGCUCUUUUUGGUGCAGUUGUUGUUGGAGUUCAUAUAUAUAAAUUGUGUUUAUUUUGUGAGGUGUCAAUUGAAUUUCAAUUACUGUUGUUUUUUAAAUGAUUUCGGUACAUGUUUUUAGGUGUGCACUGUCAUGGUCUGUCAUGGUGAUAAGUAAAGAAAAAAAAUUGGGCCAAUGAAUCUUGAAUAAUAGAAUGAGAACACAAAUAAAAAAAUACAUGUCAGAAUAUUGUCCAUGUAUGAGCUGUAAAAUUAACAUUAUCUGUUACUUUUACAGUCUAUACAUGUGAUAAUGUACUUAUGUUGAAAGCUGAAUAACUUGUAAAAGAGACGUAAACAACAUUGGGUUUUUUUCUAUAUAAAGAGGAAUGUUUGUAGGCCAACUUUCAAAGAACUAUUUUACUUUAUAACAAACCUCUCAAACCUCAACUGCAUUUUAUACAAGCAAGUGGAACACUUUGUUUUUGUUGGCUUUACAGGUAUGAAAAAACUUAUGUCGCACCAACUUUUUGAUAGUUCUUUUUUAUUGAAUGAUAUUUAAUUAUUUAAAUAUUUUUAUUAACAACAUAUAAUUUUUUUUUGUUUACAUGUAAUUGAAGUUAUGGAUGAUUCACGGUUUAAUGACAUAUUUAAUGGGGAUUUCGAUGGCAAUUAUGAUAAUGUAAUGAACCGCAUUGUAGACCAUAUUAAUUAUCCUAGUUGUGAAGGCAGUGGUGCCUCAAUUGCUGGUGCUGGAGAUGACGGUGAUGGAAACGACGCUGACAAUAGUAAUGAUGAUGAUGAUGAUGAUGACGAUGACGAUGGUGACGAUGACGAUGAAUUUAUUUUAAGGAUGCAUUUUGAUAUGAAAAAAUUAAUUAUAUGCACAGCUGGAGCUAUAAACAUGUAUUAUAUUAAUUAUAUGUAUAAAGAACCAUGUAUGGUUUCGUAUAACACAAGGAUGCGUUGGUUGACAGAGGUUUUAAGAGGUAAUUGGAAACGAAGUGUUAAUAUGUUCAGGAUGGACGCAACCACUUUGUUGAGUAUGUGCACUGAAUUAGAAACGCACCAGGCUUAAAACCAUCAAGAAGAAUGAGCGUUAUUAAAAAGGUGGCAAUGUUUCUAUUUACAAUAGCAGUUGGGGCGUCAAAUAGACAAAUGCAGGAAAGAUUUCAGCAUUCAGGUAAAACUAUUAGUAGAUGUUUUAAAGAAGUGCUUAAAUCAUUAUGUUUGUUUGCUGUGGAAGUCAUAAAAUCAGUACAUCCACAAUUUACGAGCACACAAAGAGAAAUUGCCAUGAAUCCAAGAUUUAUGCCACAUUUCAAGGUAAGAUGAAUUUUUGUUUAAUUAAGUAGUUUAAUUAAGUUUAAUUAAGUUGUUCAAAUGAGUAUGAAAUAUGUUAUAAAUGUUUAUGACUACUUAAUGUUUUUGUGGCCUGUAGAAUUAUGUCAGUGCAAUUGAUGGAACACAUGUUCGUGCCUGCAUACCAUUUGAAAAUCAAAUUCCAUUUAUUGGAAGAAAAGGUGUAUCAACACAAAAUGUCAUGGCCGCUUGUAGUUUCAACAAGCAAUUCAUGUUCGUGUGGGCAGGAUGGGAAGACAAUGCACACGAUACGCGUAUUUUUCUUGAGGCUAUUGACAAUAGUAAUCUCAAAUUUCCAAAAUCUCCAGAAGGUUGUGAUUUUGACUAAAUUGAAGAUUUGGUAAUUGAAGGAAUAUAAUUUUUUUUUAAAGUUUUGUUUAAAAUUACCAUGUUGUUAUUAUUUGCAGGAAAAUACUAUUUGGUUGAUGCUGGAUAUCCAAAUGAAUAUGGGUAUUUAGGUCCCUGCAAAGGUGAGAGGUAUCACUUCCAAGAAUUUAGGCGUCGUGGACAACCAAGUGGUCGGAAAGAAGUGUUAAUCAUGCACACUCAUCACUAUGUAACAUGAUCGAACGUUCUUUUAGGGUAUGGAAACAGAGGUGGAAAAUUUUGCAAAACAUGCCUGCUUAUCCAUACAAAAUACAAGUUGAGAUUGUAGUUGCAUCAAUGACACUACAUAACUAUAUUAGAAGGAGAUCGCAAGAUGAUGCGGUUUUUUCUGAGUAUGAUCGCAAUCCCAAUUUAAUUCCAGAUGACUUUUUACCUAAUAUUGUUCAUUGCUCGGCCGUUCAAGGAUCACAGAGGCCUUCACGUAUGGAUUUUGUACGCGAUAGAAUUGCAAAUAGUUUGAUGGAACAAUAAAGGAGUACAUUAAUGUAUAAGGAUUUUUCAUUUCGUUAUGUAAUCAUAAUUACAAAACACCUAUGUUUUGUAAUUAUAUAUAUGUGUAUACACAUGUCAUUUUAAGUAAUUCUAAAAUCAAAUCUAAAACACAAAGCAUAUUAACCAAACACAAGAAACUAUUUUUUUUACCACAAUUUCAACCACAAUUUUAACCAAACAUAAAACUGCUUUUUUUUCCACCACAAUUUUAACCGUAGUUUUAACCAAACACAAGAAACUGUUUUUUUUUAAACCACAACUUCAACCACAGUUUUUACCAAACACCAAUUUUUUUUGAAAUCAACCUCACAAAAAGUAUUUUGUAUUAAACUGUUUUUUUCAAACCACAACCACAAAAGCUACCACAAUACUAAACACGCUCUAGUCUAAGGAUUACUUACACAAUCGUCACGUGAGCUUUUUCAUAGACAAAUGUGAUAUUUCAAUAUGGAAUUCUCAUGCUAAUCAAUUCAAUAUACAUAUCAUUUGAUAAGCACCUACAUAUUAGUUUUAGAUAUCUCUCAUAUCUCAGCUUACGAGAACAACUCUCCUUUCAUAAGAAAAAAAACAUAAUAUGUAUUAAUCUCAAUAGCUGUAAUUAAUAUCAAACCUUAAUAAAACAUUGACUAGGAACAUUUUAAAAAUAAUACUUUGAUGCAAUAAAAAUUCUAUAAUUAUAACAAUUUUAUAAUUUUAUUUGUAAAAUAUUUUUAUCCCAUAAACUUUAAUUUUACUCUAUAUUCAUUAAUUAAAUAUUUAAUCAAUAUUAAAAAUAAAUAAACUUUUAUUAAUAGAUUUACAUGUUACAGUAGAAAAAAAUCGGAGUGCUAGUGUCAAUUCCAGUAGUUAUCCUUUAUAGAAAAGGCCCGGAUUUCAUCCCUUCCCAGACAGCAUCUGUGCAGGGGACGACUGCUCAAGUGUCAGCAACAACAGCAGGUGGAUGGAAGUCAUAAUAGGAAAAAAUGCAACUUGAGUUUCAGUUGCUUCACAGGAUGCAACUCUUUGCUCACUGUAUUCAUCUCAGCAAACGAGUGGAAAAGAUGGUGCUGCCAAAGCUUUCCUAGUAUUGGAUUCAGUUUUUUUAUUUUUGGCAGCUUGGAUCUGAUCCGCAAGUGAAGUUUCUCUUGGAACCUUUUCUCUCUUACUAAUCUCUGCAUUCAGUUUCUCCCAAGCUCGGCUAAGGGAAGGCGAUGAUGCCCCUUGACUAAUCAUCUGAUCAUCAGUGGAUUUCUUUUUUCGAAUCUAUAGAGACAACAUAUAGCCCUUGUAAAGACAAACAUAUACAAAAAUAAUAAUUAAAAAAAAAACCAUCAAUGUGGAGCAACAUUUGAUGUAUAGGACCCACAAAGCGUGGUCUCAUCUUGGAAUUGCUUGUUUAAUGCAAAAGAUACCAAGAACAAAGAUAGUAGUUGGAUCAUAGGAGCAUAUCCAACAUCUACAUAUUAGGUUUUAACAAAAAGGAUUAUGAGUAACUAAACAGUGUACAUGAUAGACUGCUGUGUCAACGUCUUCCAUAGUGUGGCUCCAACAUGAUCGAUUAAAAAUUAAUUCUAAGUUCUAAAUAUAUGAUUCCUAAUCUAUGAAGUCAGUAAGACUCAAUUAUUCCUAAUUCAAUUCUUUGCAUCAAUGUGCACCCCAAAAUAUCAAAUUUCAUAUUCUUUUCCUCAAAUUGAUAGUGAGAUUUUUCAUGUUGCACUGUAGCCAGAAGGUUACCUUUGUUAAUCUCUUCUUAAGUGUCAACUUUCGGGCAACAGAUGACUCUUCUGUUUUUUUCUUUGAUUGUCUGUGUGCCUUCCUCUUUGUUUCUUCUCUUUCCAUUGCUUUCUCUUCCCGCUCUUUUCUCUUCUGAGCAACCCUUUCCAUCUUUUCUUCUUUUUCCUUUUUUUCCCUCUCAACUUUUCUCUUUGCAAUCUCCUCUCCCUUUGCCUUUUCCAUGGCACCCUGAAGCUGCUUGAGAGUUAUUUCUUUUUUUAUUUUUUCGUACCCAUCCCAGUCUAGCUCUUGUUGGUCAAUGCCUCCUUCCUUAGCUGCUAUUGCUAUUCUUUUAGUCCAUGACAGAAAAAAAUUCUCUCUCAGCCUUUUCCAUCUCAAACGUUUACCCCAGAGUUGUCUGAGCGAAGAACUUAUCUUAGCCCUGAUCGCUUCACUGCAAGGAAUUUGUUUGAAUUGUGAUUUUCAGUCUGAAAAACUUGUGUGGCUGCAGAGCCUAUAGAGAUUAUAGAAUACUCUCAGCAAAUAUUAAAACCCUGAAAUCCUUAUUCAUUGAGUCAGAGUCAAGAUUCCUCAUUCAAAAAAUCAUCUACUGAGUUAACUGAGCACAAACCAUAUCCAAAUUCAUUACUAUAAGCUUCAAUUGAGGUCAUUAUCCACGUAAUAUUUUAAGUGGAUAUCGAUGGAAAUGUGGCUAAUGUAGAACAUCAUGUAUUUGCAGUCCCAUUUUUUCACAUAUAACUUUCACAACAUUUGUUGAGUAUAUUUAUAAAGAUAUUGGAGAGCAUAAACUUUACUUAUGAGCACGGGGAUGCCCUGACAUCUUCUUCCUAACCUGAAAAUUGAGAGGAAAUGAAAUCAAGUUUUAGAGGAAAAACAAAAGUAAUAUAGAAAGUAGGACAAUUACUUGUCAAAAAGGAGAGAGAGGGGAGGUGUACUUGUUACUGUCUCAGACUCUAUGCGAAAUAAAUAAUAAUCAAGCAGGAAAAAUGAAUUCAAAGCAUUCAUCUGUUUGGUAAUGAAAAAAAAAAUGGUUUGUGGUAUGAGCUUUAUUUGCUAUUCCAAGAGAUGCAGCAUAUAUGAGUGAACAUACUCAUCAGUGAAGAUCUUAAAUUUGAGGAAAAAACUGUUUAGUACUAUAGUUAAACCAUGCAAUAUGAACCCUAACUAUUCCAAGAAUUCGCUUGCACAGAAGACAAGCUGUAAAAAAACUAACUAAUCCUUACAUGACUUCACCUGGGGGUUUGUCAAGGCUUCAAUUGUUCUUUGCUUUAUCAGUGCACGGGUCUCUACAAAAUAAAAGAAGUUAAAACUACAGGAUUAAUCAACUUAAUUAAGCCUUGGAGGGAAUUAUUUGAUAUACACUUACCUGCAGUAUGUUUUCUGCCUUUGUUCCAUGGAAUCCUCCCUUUGUUCCCAUGUUUUUUCUUUCUUUUUCUUCUCUUUUUGGGAAGGUCAUUGAUAAUUUCUGCAGAGUAUUGGCAUCCAUCCGGUUGAACCUCCUCACUCAUAGUCUGCUUCUCAGCUGGAUCAAGAGGAAUUUUUGACUGGUAAUGCUUGCUAGAACCUGUAGUCUCUCCGACAUCAUCACUGAUUUGCAAGGCUACAAAAUCAUCAAUUCUUGGGAAGGUACUAAUAGAAGCAUAUGCGGGACAUAUUUUCUUCCCGAUCGAUGUACAAUUGUUUGACUGUCGUACAUUUGGUUGAAAAUGUGUGUAUUCCAACACAUAACCCAGAGUUGGCCAUAAAAGAUUGUUUGGAACAUGGCUGCAUGUUAAAUGGGGAACAGACAAUCUCCUGAGAGAUGGUUGAAAGGAAAAAGAGUCACAUAUUUUAUAGAACUAUCUAUCCAGAUACUAUUGUCAGAUCCUAAGCAAAACCAUUCAUCCAUGUUGCAAACAUCAAUAAUUAUUAUGAUUGCAAGGUAUGCAGACAAGUUCAUGUUCGUUUAUUUUCUACAACCUCACCAAAAUGUCAAUCUGGUGAAAUCCUUCAAAGAAUUUUGUAAGAGAAUAGAACAAACUUGAAACAUCAUUUAAUUUGUAUUUAUAACAGGUGGCAUCUUAAGUUCUGGAGAUACAUGGAUAUCAAAAGAAGGGUAGCUAAAGAGGGUUCCAAUAGGUGGCCUCGUAUCAUGAUCAGCUCUACGAACAUUUUUUCCAUCUUGAGUAGUUUAAAUUGUUUCUCAAGUUCUACACAAGUCAAUGCAAUCAACUAAAAUCACCAAAUAUAACAAAGCUAAUUCAGAAUAGUCAAUCAAAAUCUACUAAUGUGAGCAAAUUUGGAGGGAAUUCCAAGUUCCAGCCCAUUUAUUGCACGCUCAAACUUCUUUCAUGUGAAAAAAGUUGAAUCAUGCUGAUGGAACCUCAUGAAACCAUAGCCUGUGCUUACAUCCAAAAUUGAAAAACAAUGACAGUGUCGGUUUUUUCUAGUUACAGCAAUGCAGCACACUAUCAAUGCUAACAAAAGCAUGCAUUUUCAUAGAAUAAAAUAAAAUAAAUUCCACUCAUCAUUCAAAGAACGGUCAAAACCGAUAUUGAAACCAAACCCACAAUGAAUUGAAGAUUCUAUUCACUUUUAUCAAUAAUUUUCAGGAAGC